UACAGAGGGUGCGAGCGUUGUCCGGAAUCACUGGGCGUAAAGGGCGCGUAGGUGGUGGCUUAAGCGUGCGGUGAAAGCUCGGGGCUCAACUCCGAGUCGGCCGUGCGAACUGGGCUCACUGGAGCAUAGUAGAGGCAGGUGGAAUUCCGGGUGUAGCGGUGGAAUGCGUAGAGAUCCGGAAGAACACCGGUGGCGAAGGCGGCCUGCUGGGCUAUGGCUGACACUGAGGCACGAAAGCGUGGGGAGCAAACAGG
RNAcentral lists this ribosomal RNA (254 nucleotides) under uncultured bacterium. Its description in RNAcentral is "partial 16S ribosomal RNA". It matches the Rfam family "Bacterial small subunit ribosomal RNA", at positions 524 to 776 of the family's 1533-position model. The record is from RNAcentral.